This 203-nucleotide unclassified non-coding RNA is filed under the name plant metagenome. Its description in RNAcentral is "partial contains small subunit ribosomal RNA and internal transcribed spacer 1". The stretch from base 1 to 46 matches the Rfam family "Eukaryotic small subunit ribosomal RNA", at positions 1786 to 1831 of the family's 1831-position model. The record is from RNAcentral.
AAGUCGUAACAAGGUUUCCGUAGGUGAACCUGCGGAAGGAUCAUUAAAGAACGCCCCGUUUUUUGAAAUGGGUAAUUCCAAACGGUAUACUACCUUUGUUGCUUUGGCAGGCCGCCCCUUGGGGGCUCGGCUCCGGCUGUGCGCCUGCCAGAGGACCCAAACUCGUUUGUUUAGUGUGUCUGAGUACUAUAUAAUAGUUAAAA